CUUUCUAUUAAAGUCCCAAAUUAAAAAAAAAAUGAUACGUGUACUGUGUACAUCAUAUGAAAUUACUUUAUUUAGAAUUAAAAAUGUUUAAUAAAUUUGGGAUUAAAAAUAAAUGUUCCUAAGAUUUUGGGAAUUUCACCAUUCGCAAUUGGCUCGGAUCAGAGAGGGAUCAAGGGAUUUACUCGAUCAAACAUGCUUCUCGAUCAAUGCGGAGCCGAGACGACAAUAGAACCCAUGGACCACUCAUCGGUGGAUUUGAAAAGUAAGGCGAGAAAGCGUAAGGCCGAGUUCGAGCCGGGAGAGGAGGACGAAGAGGAAGAGAGCGAUGAAGAAGAAGAAGGCGUUGAUGAUGGGAGAGCCAAGAUAGAGGAGGAGCCUGAGGCUAGAAUAGAUUUCUUAAAGGCGCCUGGGAUGUGGACAGCUUCGAUGGUUUGGAGUAUUAUUCAUCUCCGGAGCCGAUACUUUCAUCCUCCGAUGAAGAAUUUUUCCCCGAAGAAGCUAGAGAACACUAUCGCAUCUUUAAACGCCAGAUCAUCGAGAGCAAGGGAUUUUACGGGGGUCGUGAGCUUAAGCCAACUUUUCAUUACAAAGGAAUAAGUCCAAUGAAGUUGGAGCAGAGAGCCCUUCCCAAUCAAAACUACGACAAGAGAUGGUUUAUGUUUAUGUUUGUCUCCAAAAACUCAACCACGACAAGCAUUCGAAUGUGGAGUUCGUUGAAGUUGUGAGAGGUUAUUGUCGCCCAGGACCUAGAUCAAAGUCAUACAUUACCUUUAUGGCCAGGGAGAAGCCUGAUGGACCUCUUGUGGAGUAUCAAGCCAAGUGUAUGGUUACCUUGGACAGAAAGAGGCAUCCCAUCCUCUGUAGACCGGCUCCUACGCCAAUGCCUUGAUACCAAAAGUUGUUCAAUCAAUCAAGGAUAGGAUUGGGGGACUCAAAAGGAUGGACUUGGCAAAGGGCGCUGUUAUAACAAGUCAGAUUAUCUCGUUUCUAAUGAUCUAGUGGAUGCAACAUUUUAACUUGUGGUCUUAAUAGUCUCGUCUGUUUUUGUUUGGUUAUCUAUCAUGUGUCGACACUUCGGUAGUAUUUAUUAAGAGCACUAUUUCUUUUCUUUUAGGUUUGCUUUGGUUUCAGUUUGUUUAUCUAAAACUUGUGUUCAUUACUGCCAUACUUGAGGGAAUAGAGCAAUGUAGUUUCUCAAAGACGUUAACCA
RNA transcript from Camelina sativa (false flax), 1210 nucleotides. RefSeq lists it as uncharacterized. The record is from RefSeq and is a predicted model, not a curated record. Lineage: Eukaryota; Viridiplantae; Streptophyta; Magnoliopsida; Brassicales; Brassicaceae.